Molecule: ribosomal RNA, 491 nt
Filed under: uncultured bacterium
Lineage: Bacteria
Description: partial 16S ribosomal RNA
Rfam family: Bacterial small subunit ribosomal RNA
Source: RNAcentral
UUGUACGCUGGCGGCAUGCUUUACACAUGCAAGUCGAACGGUAACAGGCCUUCGGGUGCUGACGAGUGGCGAACGGGUGAGUAAUGCAUCGGAACGUACCCAGAGGUGGGGGAUAACGCAGCGAAAGCUGUGCUAAUACCGCAUGUGAUCUGAGGAUGAAAGCGGGGGACCGAGCAGCAAUGUUUGGCCUCGCGCCUUUGGAGCGGCCGAUGUCGGAUUAGCUAGUUGGUGGGGUAAAGGCCUACCAAGGCGACGAUCCGUAGCUGGUCUGAGAGGACGACCAGCCACACUGGGACUGAGACACGGCCCAGACUCCUACGGGAGGCAGCAGUGGGGAAUUUUGGACAAUGGGCGCAAGCCUGAUCCAGCAAUGCCGCGUGCGGGAAGAAGGCCUUCGGGUUGUAAACCGCUUUUGGCAGGAACGAAACGGUGUCCGCUAAUACCGGGCGCUAAUGACGGUACCUGCAGAAUAAGCACCGGCUAACUACGUG